CCCCAGACUCCUACGGGAGGCAGCAGUGGGGGAUAUUGCACAAUGGGGGGAACCCUGAUGCAGCGACGCCGCGUGGGUGAAGGAGCGUUUCGGCGCGUAAAGCCCUAUCGGCAGGGAAGAAGGAGGACGGUACCUGACUAAGAAGCCCCGGCUAACUACGUGCCAGCAGCCGCGGGAAUACGUAGGGGGCAAGCGUUAUCCGGAUUUACUGGGUGUAAAGGGAGCGUAGACGGCUGUGCAAGUCAGAAGUGAAAGCCCGGGGCUCAACCGCGGGACUGCUCUUGGAACUGCGUGGCUAGAGUGCAGGAGGGGCAGGCGGAAUUCCUAGUGUAGCGGUGAAAUGCGUAGAUAUUAGGAGGAACACCAGUGGCGAAGGCGGCUUACUGGACUGUAACUGACGUUGAGGCUCGAAAGCGUGGGGGGCAAACAGGAUUAGAUACCCUGGUACAU
This 450-nucleotide ribosomal RNA is filed under the name uncultured bacterium. RNAcentral's name for it is "partial 16S ribosomal RNA". It matches the Rfam family "Bacterial small subunit ribosomal RNA", at positions 329 to 794 of the family's 1533-position model. The record is from RNAcentral.